UCAUUAAGGACAAAUAUAUAAUCUCAUUUAGGACAUUUUUUGAAGAAAACCAUUCAAUCCAGUACGGGUCAUUUUGACCCCCUUUAUGCAGUCGCGAAGGUUUUUUUGGUUCAUGCAUUGUAGGCUUAAAUAUCAAAAAUCUAAAAGCUGUGCAUCAUACCUCACACCCAGUCGAACACUUUACAGUUGGUUGUGUGACUGUACGUCAUUCCUUUCAAAUGCUAUUGAGCUUCAAACAAUGGCAUAUUUUGUGUAUGGGCCCAUUCUGUAGUGAAAUUCAUAUCUAAUUCACAUAUGAUUUAAUAGCUUAUUUUGAUAAAUAUCAAAAAUCUAAAAAAAAAGUGUGCAUCAUACCUGACACCUAGAUGAACACUUUACAGUUGGUUAUAUGACUGCAAGUCAUUCCCUGCAAAUGCUAUUAAACGUGUUUAACAAUGUCGUAUGUAACUUUAGAGACGGUCCCUUAAUUUCCGCAUAUCUGCGAAUAUCGAACGUCCAACCAACUUUAUUCCAGUGGCGUCGUGAGCUAGUUCAGUUAGCUGCUUUGUUUAGCUCAACAAAAUGGCUGCCCAAGAGAGCGUCAAUAGGGCUAAAUCCCAAAUGGAUCCCUUUGGGCCACAGGGAGCACUACAUAAACUACAUCGGACAGGAGUAGGGAGCAGUGAACAAUGGCCCAUUUGAGAUUAAAUCUAGUGCUUAUGAAAACGAAAGAGGUGCUGUUACAGCGUGAUCAGUGUGCCAACACAACUUCCUUAUGGUGUAGGUAGUGUUUGGUGAUUUUGGUGUGACUUGCAGUGGGUUUGGAUGACCUCCUGAGUUGUAGCUAGCCUGCCUUGUCCCUGCCAAGCCUGGGCCUGGAGAAGUGAAGCAAAACAGCAGUGUGCGUUUGACCUUUUGGGGGACUCUGUUGUCCUGUUCCAUUGUGGGGUGAGUAUAGUGGUUAUAGGUAUGGAGGAGGAGAUGCAGGAGUUGCAAGAAUUAGUGGUGCAAUUGAGAGCAGACAAUGACCGGUUGUGCCGUGAACAGAUGCCAGGUGAGUCACCUGGUCCUAGCACCACUCCUUUUGUUGCCACCACGGCAGUGCCUGAUCCUCCCCAACCAGUUGAUGCUAAUCCGGUGGUGCAGGAAUGGUUCGUCUUUGUGGCUAGGGACUGACGGUGUCCAAAAUUUAGUGGUAAAUCCGGCACAGGCAUUGAUGAGUGGGUAGAGGAGGCUCAGGCAUGCAUGCAGGCUCGUUAUCUGUCUAAAGUUGACAAAGCGUUCUUUCUCUUUGAUUAUUUAGAGGGGGAAGCACGGGAGGAGAUUAGACACAGUCCCAGUGAGGAAUGGGGAGAUCCUGAUAAGAUUAUCGCAAUUCUACGUGAGUUGUAUGGUUGCUCUCAAUCAUAUGUAGCACUCCAAGAAGCCUUUUUUUCCAGGAGGCAGCUGGAUGGGGGAAUCUCUGUUAGAGUUUUUCCUGGCCUUGAUGAUUCUCCUGGAGAGGGUUAAACAGCAAUCACCUAAUGCUAUCGCUAAUGCCAAAAUUGUGUCUUUUGAUCAAUUUGUCAAGUGUGCAGCUGAUAGUUCUCUCCACCGGGAGCUGAAGCAACAAGUUUGCCGCCAGCCCACCUCUACUUUAUUGACAGUACGUGGUGAGGCGAUUAGGUGGGAAUGGGAGGGAAUGCCAGGGGGUGCGAGGGGCUGGAGUCAGUUCCAAUGGCUUAUGGCAUCCAGUAUGGUGUGCAAGGGCAUUCUCAGUUGGAGUUAAGGGAGCUGUGGGAGAUGUUAAAAUCACAGUAGCAACAGCUAAAUCAACUCACUCAGUGUUGAAUGUAUGCAGUUUCCUCGGCGUGUUCGUCGAUCAUCCCGUACUGAGGUAUUACUCUGUCGUCGUUGUCAAAAACCCGGUCAUUACGCUCGUGAGUGUGAUGGAGAACGUGUUCCUUCUUCCCUAGCGCGUCGGUAGGAACUCAAGGGGGUUUUCCCCAACCAUCGGAAAACUAGGUCCCACCAAACUGCAGAGUCAGAGUUUGGUAGGGAAAGACCAGGGCUCAAUGACUUUAGGUCCUUCGAACCAGGUUGAGUUAUAUGCGUUACUGCCAGUCACAGUGCUCCCCAGCAGUGUAAGGCAAGCGGGGAAGACUGGGCUGGGUUCCCAAGCAGUAGUUACUGCGUUGCCCAGUCUAGCUUUGGAUAUGCAGUCCUUGCAGAAAGAGGAUCCUGUUAUUGGUACGGAUGGAUCUCCCCUUGCAGAGAACGGGGCGGUCCACUGCAGGUCACCAUUCGAUUCUGUACCAUCCAUCACGGGACGUGGAGGAAGGGUUGUGAGAGAAGUCACCGCACCAGGUCCUACAUCUAAUAGAAUUUCGGUUUGGUUUAGGCCGUGGUUUGUAAGCCAAAAUAGUCCAAGGGUGUGUGUUUGUUGGGUCAUUGUCGGGAUGCUGAUUCAAAUAAAAGGGGGUAGAACGUGGCAGGGUAAGCGAUUUAACCAUCCUAUUGGCCCUGCUCGGGGUAUGGCUUCGGCAGACCAAUAGGGUGGGAGCUACCCGACUAUUUAAGGGCCCUUAUUUUGGUAAGCGCAUAGGUGUCUUGGUGAUUCAGAGUUCCUCGCUCCCCUGGCAUUUCCGGUUCCCAUUUCCGUUCAAGUACAUUCAGGCUUUGCUCACGGUAUAAUGAGGUGAACAUCUCAAGGCUAAUUUGUUUAUUUAUAGUCUUAGAGCGGCACUGGUGGCGCAUGCAUUGUGGCGAUUUGGUGCCGGAGAUCGCGUUCAGUGAUCGCAACAUUUAGCCCGUGGCUGAAUAUGUAUAUGUAUGUCGAGCCACGGUACCUGUGAGCAAUCAUACCACUUCGUGUCUAGUGUUUUGUUCAACCCAAUGGUAAGUGCACCUCUCCCUUUUUCACACUGGGACUUGGUAGAUUUAGGUUGACACUCUGAGCUUUGUGUUACGGUGAGAGUGGGGAGUUGAGCAUCUAAGACAAAUCCCUAGCCAAAGACACUACAUGUGAUGCUGCUGCUGUUUUGUUUUACUUACUGUUUUGCUUUACCUGAUUUUGUUUUACGGUCACUUUCUUGGUUUUAUGUAUUGUUCUGUUCCACCCGAUCUGUUUUGCUUCAUCUGAUUUGGUUUGCUUUACUUCAGUGUUUUGCUUUACUUUAGUUUUGGAUGUAUGGUGGGCUUAUGUUUUGUAACUACAUGCAGUCUGAGAGGCUUAGUCAUAAAGUAGUGUUUUCCAGCCUCAAACCUGUUUUCAAGUUUGUUGUUUCACACAGCCACCUUACUAUUGAGAGGGUGUAUGUUAAGCCUUACUGUCUCCAUGCUAUAGUUGCUAUAUUUUUCAUUUGUACUGUCUACCAUAAUUCUGGUUCUUCCUAGGUGCUGUUAACUUCCUCUAUUUCAUGUGGUGGUGUUACUGGGCCUGGGUGAUCUAGUCACCACCCCACGGUGUCUAACUUUCUUCUUUUUGUUUAUUGUUUAGUGUCUGUAACUUUUGAUUAAUUGGUGUUUUCUUUCUCUCCAGGAGCCAGUGAGUCUUGGUGGGACGGGGAGGCUAGCUGCAUUUAUUCGGUGGUGUGUGCUUCACAGCAUGCUCAGUAUGCCAACACAACAACUUCCUUAUGGUGUAGGUAGUGUUUGAUUUUGGUGUGACUUGAGGUGGGUUUGAAUGACCUCCCGAGCUGUAGCUGGCCUGCCUUGUCCUUGCCGAGCCUGGGCCUAGUGCUUAGUUUAAAAAUCUUUAUUGUGCUUCAUGGGAGAGUGAUUUUAUAUUUGUAUGUUAAGUUUUAAUGAUGCUUAAGUGUCAUAAUAAAAUAUAUUUUUUUAAAAUAUUUGUACUCGUGUCUCACUCUCAUGUUCCUUGCCCCGAUUGGUAAAGCUUCUGUGUGCUUUUAUUUGGGAGUAUUUCCCUGGUUCUCCCCCCGGGUGGUGUAGUUGGAUUUACUAAAUUUGGUAUAAACAUUUCCCUCCACUUGGGAAUGCCACAUUUUCUCAUAUUAAUUUUAAUUGUACGAGAAAACUGGUUAAUUUUUAGCUUUUUUCCGCUAUUAUCGGGUUUAUCUACCAGGUUUAAAAUCUCGCCGUGUCACACGUCACAUGCAGUGUAGUACUUCGAUGACACAUCGGUGUCUCAUAAUUAUUCAUGAGACUGUGUGUUCUUAUCCUAUGAGAAGAUGCUGUCUCUUAAUUAUUCAUGAUAGCACGUGGUACUUUCCUACAGAUGUAGUAGAUAAGAGCUGCGUUCAAAUGGGUCGCAAGAGUUUGUUUCAGUGGUGUAAGAGUUCAAGUGUGUUUUCUUGGGAGAGCUAUGAGAAUAGGAGAAAGGUGGACUUCGGACUUGAGUAGUGAGUGUAGAGCUUGUAUAACAGUGUAAAUUUGCUGUCCCUUCAAAAUAACUCAACACACAGUCAUUAAUGUCUAAACCGCUGGCAACAAAAGUGAGUAUACCAAAUUGGGCCCAAUUAGCCAUUUUCCCUCCCUGGUGUCAUGUGACUUGUUAGUAUUUAUAAGGUCUCAGGUGUGAAUGGGGAGCAGGUGUGUUAAAUUUGGUGUCCUCGCUCUCACACUCCCUCAUACUGGUCACUGGAAGUUCAACAUGGCACCUCAUGGCAAAGAACUCUCUGAGGAUCUGAAAAAAAGAAUUAUUGCUCUACAUAAAGAUGGCCUAGGCUAUAAGAAGAUUGCCAAGACCCUGACCCUGAGCUGCAGCACGGUGGCCAAGACCAUGCAGCAGUUUAACAGGACAGGUUCCACUCAGAACAGGCCUCGCCAUGGUCGACCAAAGAAAUUGAGUGCACGUGCUCAGCAUCAUAUCCAGAGGUUGUCUUUGGGAAAUAGACGUAUGAGUGCUGCCAGCAUUGCUGCAGAGGUUGAAGGGGUGGGGUGGGGGGGUCAGCCUGUCAGUGCUCAGACCAUACGCCGCACACCGCAUCAAAUUGGUCUGUAUGGCUGUUGUCCCAGAAGGAAGCUUCUUCUAAAGAUGAUGCACAAGAAAGCCUGCAAACAGUUUGCUGAAGACAAGCAAACUAAGGACAUGGAUUACUGGAACCAUGUCCUGUAGUCUGAUGAGACCAAGAUAAACUUAUUUGGCUCAGAUGGUGUCAAGUGUGUGUGGUGACAACCAGGUGAGGAGUACAAAAACAAGUGUGUCUUGCCUAUAGUCAAGCCUGGUGGUGGGAGUGUCAUGGUCUGGGGCUGCAUGAGUGCUGCUGGCACUGGGGAGUUACAGUUCAUUGAGGAAACCAUGAAUGCUAACAUGUACUGUGACGUACUGAAGCAGAGCAUGAUCCCCUCCCUUCGGAGAUUGGGCCGCAGGGCAGCAUUCCAGCAUGAUGACCCCAAACACACCUCCAAAACGACCACUUCUUUGCUAAAGAAGCUGAGGGUGAAGGUGAUGGACUGGCCAAGCAUGUCUUCAGACCUAAACCCUAUUGAGCAUCUGUGGGGCAUCCUCAAAUGGAGGAGGGGAAGAGGAUUCCAGUGGCAACCUGUGAAGCUCUGGUGAACUCCAUGCCCAAGAGGGUUAAGGCAGUGCUGGAAAAUAAUGGUGGCCACACAAAAUAUUGACACUUUGGGCCCAAUUUGGACAUUUUCACUUAGGGGUGUACUCACUUUUGUUGCCAGCGGUUUAGACAUUAAUGGCUGUGUUGAGUUAUUUUGAAGGGACAGCAAAUUUACACUGUUAUACAAGCUGUACACUCACUACUUUACAGUGUAGCAAAGUGUCAUUUCUUCAGUGUUGUCACAUGAAAAGAUAUAAUCAAAUAUUUACAAAAAUGUGAGGGGUGUACUCACUUUUGUGAGAUACUGUAGAUAUAUAGAUGUAUAGAUAUAUAUAAUAUUAAAGGUCCGCGGGCCAUUGUGUGCAAAACUAUGCAACGAGAGUACAUGUGGAAGAGAAGAGCCUUCGCCUUUUUAUUCGUGAAAAGCUCGAGCCUAUUAACUAACUAC
This is a long non-coding RNA of Ictalurus furcatus (blue catfish), 5925 nucleotides long. RefSeq lists it as uncharacterized. The transcript is spliced from 3 exons. NCBI's taxonomy places the organism in Eukaryota, Metazoa, Chordata, Actinopteri, Siluriformes, Ictaluridae. The record is from RefSeq and is a predicted model, not a curated record.